UGGGGAAUCUUCCGCAAUGGACGAAAGUCUGACGGAGCAACGCCGCGUGAGUGAUGACUGCCUUCGGGUUGUAAAGCUCUGUUAAUCGGGACGAAUGGUUCUUGUGCGCAUAGUGCGAGGAUUUGACGGUACCGGAAUAGAAAGCCACGGCUAACUACGUGCCAGCAGCCGCGGUAAUACGUAGGUGGCAAGCGUUGUCCGGAAGUAUUGGGCGUAAAGCGCGGGCAGGCGGAUUGGUCAGUCUGUCUUAAAAGUUCGGGGCUUAACCCCGUGAUGGGAUGGAAACUGUCAAGCUAGAGUAUCGGAGAGGAAAGUGGAAUUCCUAGUGUAGUGGUGAAAUGCGUAGAUAUUAGGAAGAACACCAGUGGCGAAGGCGACUUUCUGGACGAAAACUGACGCUGAGGCGCGAAAGCCAGGGGAGCGAACGGG
Molecule: ribosomal RNA, 429 nt
Filed under: bacterium
Lineage: Bacteria
Description: partial 16S ribosomal RNA
Rfam family: Bacterial small subunit ribosomal RNA
Source: RNAcentral